GAGGAAAAGAAGGAAGAGACAGGAACGUGGAAUAUAAAAAUGGCCUCAAAUGGGCUCGUCGUGGACGUCAGAGUUUUACAGCGCAUGUCUCAAGACACAGCACAGGAGAUUUCAACAACAGAGGCGAAGAAGGAAGCUCAAGGC
Molecule: long non-coding RNA, 144 nt
Organism: Ornithodoros turicata
Lineage: Eukaryota; Metazoa; Arthropoda; Arachnida; Ixodida; Argasidae
Exons: 3
Source: RefSeq, a predicted model, not a curated record